AGUGAACGCUGGCGGUAGGCCUAACACAUGCAAGUCGAACGGCAGCACAGUAAGAGCUUGCUCUUACGGGUGGCGAGUGGCGGACGGGUGAGGAAUACAUCGGAAUCUACUUUUUCGUGGGGGAUAACGUAGGGAAACUUACGCUAAUACCGCAUACGACCUACGGUUGAAAGCAGGAGAUCUUCGGACCUUUCGCGAUUGAAUGAGCCGAUGUCGGAUUAGCUAGUUGGCAGGGUAAAGGCCCACCAAGGCGACGAUCCGUAGCUGGUCUGAGAGGAUGAUCAGCCACACUGGAACUGAGACACGGUCCAGACUCCUACGGGAGGCAGCAGUGGGGAAUAUUGGACAAUGGGCGCAAGCCUGAUCCAGCCAUACCGCGUGGGUGAAGAAGGCCUUCGGGUUGUAAAGCCCUUUUGUUGGGAAAGAAAAGCAGCAGGUUAAUACCCCGCUGUUCUGACGGUACCCAAAGAAUAAGCACCGGCUAACUUCGUG
RNAcentral lists this ribosomal RNA (492 nucleotides) under uncultured bacterium. Its description in RNAcentral is "partial 16S ribosomal RNA". It matches the Rfam family "Bacterial small subunit ribosomal RNA", at positions 29 to 507 of the family's 1533-position model. The record is from RNAcentral.